Molecule: ribosomal RNA, 253 nt
Filed under: uncultured bacterium
Lineage: Bacteria
Description: partial 16S ribosomal RNA
Rfam family: Bacterial small subunit ribosomal RNA
Source: RNAcentral
UACAGAGGUGGCAAGCGUUGUUCGGAAUUACUGGGCGUAAAGGGCGCGUAGGCGGUCUUGCAAGUCCCGUGUGAAAUCCCUCGGCUCAACUGAGGAACUGCACGGGAAACUGCUUGGCUUGAGUUCGGGAGAGGGAAGCGGAAUUCCGGGUGUAGCGGUGAAAUGCGUAGAUAUCCGGAGGAACACCGGUGGCGAAGGCGGCUUCCUGGGCCGACACUGACGCUGAGGAGCGAAAGCCAGGGGAGCAAACGGG